Molecule: non-coding RNA, 19 nt
Filed under: Arabidopsis thaliana (thale cress)
Lineage: Eukaryota; Viridiplantae; Streptophyta; Magnoliopsida; Brassicales; Brassicaceae
Also listed under: 2 other names
Source: RNAcentral
UUCUGCCCAGUGCUCUGAA